AGUGAUGUAGCUCAGUGGCACAGCACCUGCCUGGCAAGCGUGAGGUCCUGAGUUCAAUUCCCAGUACUG
Molecule: transfer RNA, 69 nt
Filed under: Fukomys damarensis (Damara mole-rat)
Lineage: Eukaryota; Metazoa; Chordata; Mammalia; Rodentia; Bathyergidae
Rfam family: tRNA
About the family: Transfer RNA (tRNA) molecules are approximately 80 nucleotides in length.
Source: Rfam by way of RNAcentral